GACGAACGCUGGCGGCGUGCUUAACACAUGCAAGUCGAACGGUAAGGCCCUUCGGGGUACACGAGUGGCAAACGGGUGAGUAACACGUGGGUGAUCUGCCCUGCACUUCGGGAUAAGCCUGGGAAACUGGGUCUAAUACCGGAUAGGACUCCUGGCUUCAUGGUUGGGGGUGUAAAGCUUUUGCGGUGUGGGAUGGGCCCGCGGCCUAUCAGCUUGUUGGUGGGGUAAUGGCCUACCAAGGCGACGACGGGUAGCCGGCCUGAGAGGGUGACCGGCCACACUGGGACUGAGAUACGGCCCAGACUCCUACGGGAGGCAGCAGUGGGAAUAUUGCACAAUGGGCGCAAGCCUGAUGCAGCGACGCCGCGUGAGGGAUGACGGCCUCGGUUGUAACUCUUUCAAUAGGACGAAGCGCAAGUGACGGUACCUAUAGAAGAAGGA
Molecule: ribosomal RNA, 441 nt
Filed under: uncultured bacterium
Lineage: Bacteria
Description: bacterial SSU rRNA
Rfam family: Bacterial small subunit ribosomal RNA
Source: RNAcentral